ACUGCAGGCUGCAACUCGCCUGCACGAAGUCGGAAUUGCUAGUAAUCGUAGGUCAGCAUACUACGGUGAAUACGUCCCCGGGCCUUGUACACACCGCCCGUCAAACCAUGAGAGUUGGCAACACCCGAAGUCGGUAGUCUAACCGCAAGGAGGACGCCGCCGAAGGUGGGGUUGAUGAUUAGGGUUAAGUCGUAACAAGGUAUC
RNAcentral lists this ribosomal RNA (204 nucleotides) under uncultured bacterium. Its description in RNAcentral is "partial 16S ribosomal RNA". It matches the Rfam family "Bacterial small subunit ribosomal RNA", at positions 1297 to 1500 of the family's 1533-position model. The record is from RNAcentral.